CCUACGGGAGGCUGCAGUGAGGAAUAUUGGUCAAUGGCCGGAAGCCUGAACCAGCCAAGCAGCGUGCAGGACGAAGGUGCCAAGCAUUGUAAACUGCUUUUGUCAAGGGACAAAAUCAGUCUCGAGAGACUGACCGCGGGUACUUUAAGAAAAAGCAUCGGCUAACUCCGUGCCAGCAGCCGCGGUAAUACGGAGGAUGCGAGCGUUAUCCGGAUUUAUUGGGUUUAAAGGGUGCGUAGGCGGGCUGUUAAGUCAGCGGUAAGAGCCCGGGGCUCAACCCCGGCGAGCCGUUGAAACUGGCUGUCUUGAGAUGUCGAGAGGUAUGCGGAAUGCGCAGUGUAGCGGUGAAAUGCUUAGAUAUUGCGCAGAACUCCGAUUGCGAAGGCAGCAUACCGGCGGCGAUCUGACGCUGAGGCACGAAAGCGUGGGUAUCGAACAGGAUUAGAUACCCGAGUAGUC
RNAcentral lists this ribosomal RNA (459 nucleotides) under uncultured bacterium. RNAcentral describes it as "partial 16S ribosomal RNA". It matches the Rfam family "Bacterial small subunit ribosomal RNA", at positions 338 to 795 of the family's 1533-position model. The record is from RNAcentral.